UUGGAUUGUAGUACAACUCCAUUAGCAUGAGAUUCAAACCCCCCUUCAAAACACGCAGACGCUUUAGGUUCUAAGAGUUUUGGGGUUUCGCAUCCUCCUUUUUUCCUCAUAUCUUCAAACACUACUGGAUCCAAUUUAUAUCUCGCUCUCUUUUUCUCUAAAUCUGAGACUUGGUGAUGGCGAUUGAGGAAUCAAAUGCUUUGAUCCGCUUGACGAGUGGAAUAGUGGCUCAGGUCGAUGGUGAUCGGUAGAGGCGGAGACCCCUUGGCUGUUUUGAGUUCAUUGAUUUCCUUAAUCGAUGUUGCUAGAAAGCUAGUCUCCUUCGCUAUUACGAGUUAUUCAUAGGUGAGCAUUUCCCUCAUUUCUUACUUUUAAUUAUUUCAUUCAUACGUUUAUUUCUUGAUUUAUUAAAUCCAGGUGUAGUUUAAUGUUUGAUUGUUGUAAUUUGUUAAAAUUAGCCUUUGUUGUUCGAUGAUUUGGAUUUUCUAUGUUCGUGUACUCUUAAGAAGUUUACUUCGGUCUCUUGUUUUUCUGCUUUUAAUGAUUACUGUCAGUUGAUUAUUGGUUUAUAUCUAAAUUGUUGGAUAUGGCAUAAAAAUAGUUUUCUUAAGUGACACUUUAUGUUGAAUCGGGCAUUUGGAAUAUUGACGACACCUCUAUUAGUUGCGAGAUUCUUAGGAAUAAUGAACAUAUGAGAAAAGGUUAUUUGAGAAUGAGAUGGAUUGCAACCCAUGUAUGAAUAAUAAAAAAUGAUACAAAGCAAGUGCACUGGCUAUAUGUGAAUUAUUGUAUAAUUGUUACUUUGAUCAUGAUUUGUUAAAUCCUUUUGUUGAAUCUUUAUUGGGGUCUGACUGUUCUAAUAAUUUGUAAUUUUGGCAAUUUGCAGGGCUACCAUAUGUCUUUUGAUUCCUUUUGCUCACAUAAUUUGUUAAUUUUGGGUGUGCAUUUGACGAGCGUGGGAAGACAUGGGUGUUGCGGUUGGAUAUUUUUUCGCCAUUGGACCUAAUCGCGUUUAUUUUUUACUAUAAAUUUUGUUGGACAUUUGAUUAGUUUUGUCAUGGCGCGGUCAUCACUUAUUCCCGGAUUUCCUUUCAUCCUUCCGAUGUUUAAUUGGAUAUGUUUUACCUCAAGAGGACGUUAUAAGAAAAUAAAAUCACAAUCAAUGUCGUUGCAGAAGUAAACAUUUAUGAUUUCAGUCUCUAGGAUUUUUCAUGUUUUAAUCGUUCACGAAACCAUAAAAACUAUAUGUGAAUUUCAUUCUUUUAAAUAACAAUUUUUGUUAGUUUAUUUUGCUCCAUCCUAAAGAUUGUCAAUGAGUCAAGCCUAACCUAUAGGAUCUCAUUUAACUUUUUGUUGGAAAUUUCAAAAAUCUAUAUCAAUUAGAUUUUGGGUGUUACGGUACUUAUAGCAUUCACAAUGGAUGUCUUAUAUUUAUGUUAGGGGGCUACUUAUAUUAUAAGCAAUGAUUGUGAGUGGAGGAGAGAGAAAAUAUUUGAGAAUUUUACUGUUCAUCUAUAAAUAUAUGAUAAACAAUAUUUACCCCUUAUACAUUUUUAAUUUUUUUUAAAGGUGGUUGUGAGUGGAGAAAAGAGAAAAUGUAAUCAUAAAUGUAUAAAAAAAUAUU
RNAcentral lists this long non-coding RNA (1624 nucleotides) under Helianthus annuus (common sunflower). Its description in RNAcentral is "hypothetical non coding rna". Lineage: Eukaryota; Viridiplantae; Streptophyta; Magnoliopsida; Asterales; Asteraceae. The record is from RNAcentral.